Molecule: long non-coding RNA, 501 nt
Organism: Diuraphis noxia (Russian wheat aphid)
Lineage: Eukaryota; Metazoa; Arthropoda; Insecta; Hemiptera; Aphididae
Source: RefSeq, a predicted model, not a curated record
UGUUGUUUUCACGUACGUUAUUAAACGUUCGAUUUGAGGAAAUAAAAAUAUAAUGUUCCACCACCCACAUAAUGUUCAUGAUAUUAUUUUCUUGGUUUGCGACAUAUUUUUUGGUGCAUCAAUAUAACUAUACUCGACUGUCCAAGUAUAUUCAGAUGAGGAACCAGAUGUCAAUAUAGGCCGAACACUACGAUUUUCAAAUGAUUACCAUGAUUUCCGUGAUUACCGAAAGAUUACUAAAGCAUAGUACACUCACCGCAGUACUACAUAUUAUGACUGAUACGUAUUUCGUAUUUCCUUAUUGAAAAUCAUUGUACCUACAUACUAUACAGAUAUGAGAGUGUUAUAACAUAUUUGUACAAAUUUUUAUAUCAAAUAAUUUAAUUUGACAAAAUAAAAAACAUGGAAACUACAAAUACUACACUAAACAGUACAACUUUACAGUCGGAACUAUUUCUAGAAUUGAACGAGGAACAUGAAUCUGGUGACACUCAUGAUAUC